GAGAUAGCUCAGUUGGUAGAGCAGGAGACUUUUGAUCUCAGGGUUAACGGUUCGAGCCCCACCUUGAGCA
Molecule: non-coding RNA, 70 nt
Organism: Podarcis lilfordi (Lilford's wall lizard)
Lineage: Eukaryota; Metazoa; Chordata; Lepidosauria; Squamata; Lacertidae
Source: the annotation of a GenBank genome assembly